AUUGAACGCUGGCGGCAGGCUUAACACAUGCAAGUCGAACGGUAACAGGGGGGUAGCUUGCUACUUUGCUGACGAGUGGCGGACGGGUGAGUAAGGUAUGGGAAUUUGCCGAAUGGAGGGGGACAACAGUUGGAAACGGCUGCUAAUACCGCAUAACGUCGCGAGACCAAAGGGUGGGGACUUUCGGGUCCGACCCUCGCCACUUUGUAUGAGCCCACUAAUUGAGGAAUUUAAGUCUAGUUUGGGUUGGUUGGG
This 255-nucleotide ribosomal RNA is filed under the name uncultured bacterium. RNAcentral describes it as "partial 16S ribosomal RNA". It matches the Rfam family "Bacterial small subunit ribosomal RNA", at positions 30 to 257 of the family's 1533-position model. The record is from RNAcentral.